This 253-nucleotide ribosomal RNA is filed under the name uncultured bacterium. Its description in RNAcentral is "partial 16S ribosomal RNA". It matches the Rfam family "Bacterial small subunit ribosomal RNA", at positions 524 to 776 of the family's 1533-position model. The record is from RNAcentral.
GACGAACUGCCCAAACGUUGUUCGGAAUCACUGGGCUUAAAGGGCGCGUAGGCGGCGGAUCAAGUCGGGGGUGAAAUCCGGCAGCUCAACUGUCGAAGUGCCUUCGAUACUGAUUCGCUCGAGGGAGGUAGGGGUGCGUGGAACUUCCGGUGGAGCGGUGAAAUGCGUUGAUAUCGGAAGGAACGCCGGUGGCGAAAGCGACGCACUGGACCUCUUCUGACGCUGAGGCGCGAAAGCCAGGGGAGCAAACGGG